Molecule: ribosomal RNA, 481 nt
Filed under: Bitis arietans (puff adder)
Lineage: Eukaryota; Metazoa; Chordata; Lepidosauria; Squamata; Viperidae
Description: partial 16S ribosomal RNA
Rfam family: Bacterial large subunit ribosomal RNA
Source: RNAcentral
CCCAGUGAACAAUUAAACGGCCGCGGUAUCCUAACCGUGCAAAGGUAGCAUAAUCAUUUGUCUAUUAAUUGUAGACCCGUAUGAAAGGCAAAAUGAGAGCCUAACUGUCUCUUAUAACAAAUCAAUUAAACUGAUCUCCCAGUACAAAAGCUGGGAUACCCACAUAAGACCAGAAGACCCUGUGAAGCUUUAACUAACCUAUUAAACCAUAUAAUAGCUAGUUUCGGUUGGGGCGACCUUGGAAUAAAAAAGAACUUCCAAAAAAUAUGAUCUUCUCAUAUAAAAGGCAGACAAGCCACAAUUAGACCCAGAAUUUCUGAUACAUGAACCAAGUUACUCCAGGGAUAACAGCGCUAUCUUCUUUAAGAGCCCAUAUCAAAAAGAAGGUUUACGACCUCGAUGUUGGAUCAGGACAUCCUAGCAAUGCAACAGUUACUAAGGGUUCGUUUGUUCAACGAUUAAUAGUCCUACGUGAUCUGAG